UACGUAGGGGGCAAGCGUUGUCCGGAUUUAUUGGGCGUAAAGAGCGUGUAGGCGGCCCGGUUAGUCCGCUGUGAAAGUCCAGGGCUCAACCCUGGAAUGCCGGUGGAUACUGUCGGGCUAGAGUCCGGAAGGGGCGAGUGGAAUUCCUGGUGUAGCGGUGAAAUGCGUUGAGAUCGGAAGGAACGCCCGUGGCGAAAGCGAGGUCCUGGACGUCUACUGACGCUGAGACGCGAAAGCUAGGGGAGCAAACGGG
Molecule: ribosomal RNA, 253 nt
Filed under: uncultured bacterium
Lineage: Bacteria
Description: partial 16S ribosomal RNA
Rfam family: Bacterial small subunit ribosomal RNA
Source: RNAcentral